GAUAAACGCUGGCGGCGCACAUAAGACAUGCAAGUUGAACGGACUUAAUCGAAAUAUUUAUAUUUUGAAGCGGUUAGUGGCGGACUGGUGAGUAACGCGUAAGGAACCUGCCUAUUAGAGGGGAAUAACAGUGAGAAAUCAUUGCUAAUACCGCAUAUGCCAUAGAUAUCACAUGAUAACAGUGGGAAAGUAGCAAUCCGCUAAUAGAUGGCCUUGCGUCUGAUUAGAUAGUUGGUGGGGUAACGGCCUACCAAGUCGACGAUCAGUAGCCGGACUGAGAGGUUGAACGGCCACAUUGGGACUGAGAUACGGCCCAGACUCCUACGGGAGGCAGCAGUCGGGAAUAUUGCGCAAUGGAGGAAACUCUGACGCAGUGACGCCGCGUAUGGGAAGAAGGUUUUCGGAUUGUAAACUAUUGUCGUUAGGGAAGAGAAAGGACAGUACCUAAGGAGGAAGCUCCGGCUAACUACGUG
This 473-nucleotide ribosomal RNA is filed under the name uncultured bacterium. Its description in RNAcentral is "partial 16S ribosomal RNA". It matches the Rfam family "Bacterial small subunit ribosomal RNA", at positions 28 to 507 of the family's 1533-position model. The record is from RNAcentral.